Cydia strobilella is the source of this 2223-nucleotide long non-coding RNA. RefSeq lists it as uncharacterized. The record is from RefSeq and is a predicted model, not a curated record. NCBI's taxonomy places the organism in Eukaryota, Metazoa, Arthropoda, Insecta, Lepidoptera, Tortricidae. The transcript is spliced from 3 exons.
UACCAAAUUUGAUGUAAAUCGGUUCAGUGCUUAUUGAUUCCCUAUACAAAUUUUCAACCCCCCUUGAGGGUGAUUUCUGGAAUAAAAACUACCCUAUGACCUUCCCUGGGACUCAAAAAAUCUCUAUGCCAAAUUUCAACUAAAUCGGUUCAGCAGUUUAAGCGUAUAGAGGUAACAGACAGACAGACUUUCGCAUUUAUAAUAUUAGUAUGGAUGAUAGAACCCUAUGAAAGAAAUACAAUUGUGUACUAUAAUUGUAAUUUAGUAUCUUGCCUAUUAUUUCCAAUCAUUCCAAUCAAAGCUUUAACCCAUGUCAUCCAGAAAUUUUUUUUUUUUCUAUAAGACGAUUUUCGUAGCAGUGUACGAGUACCUACCUAGUCCAUCAUUCGGACUUUGUUGUUGAUUGUUGACCAAAUACUUGGUUUUGGUUGUUUGUUUGAGGCUGUAAAUGAUAGGUGCCGCCCAUGACAAACCAAGUUCGGUCAAAACUCAAAAAUCAACAAAUCCAAAUGAUGGACUACUAGUACACUCUGAGACGAAAAACGUCUUAUAGAAAAGUUUAUAUUUUCUGGAUGGAUGGGUUUAGAAUGUUUAGAUGUAAAGUUUUGAUUGGUAAUAAUAGGCAAGAUACUAAACUACAUGAAAAAAAAAUAGCUUUACCUCUUCCAAAAGUAAGUUGUGUCCAAUAACCCUUACUUUUUAAAUGUCUCGUUUUAGGUAGAGGUAUACCUACAAUGGUUUUUAUUGAAGGUACACUGAAGCGAAGGUACAAUAUAACUACAUACAUUUUGCUUGAAAUAAUACGAGAUUUCAUAAGUCCACCCGCCAACCUGACGUCAGGUUUUGAGCCUUGUUUUGAGCUUAGGUCGUUUUAGGGAUAGAUAUACUGAUUUCUAUUAAAGGUUUAUUUUUUAUUUUAUUUAUUUAAAUAUGAAUAUAUUUACAGAGGUACACUGAAGGUACAAUAUAACUGCAUACUUUUAGUGCGGUAGGUAUAAUGCAAGAUAUAUGUCAACCCGCCAUCCUGACGCUCACCAGUAGUGUAGUGAUAUUAGUCAAUUGCAAUAUUUGCAAUGUAGUUAUGAAAGUAAAUACAAGUUCAUGUUGCACUGAUAAAAUCACUUUAAACGACGAUUCUAAUGGAAAUUUACCUCAAAUUUCAGGAGCUGAUACAGGCAGCCAGAAUGAGUCUCUGCUGAGUCGCCGUCUGACGUCUUCGUGCCAGGUGCCAGUCGCCAGUUGCAGGGGAAGAUGCGAAUAGUUAUACAAGCGAGCAUGAUGACGUCUCUCAAAAACAGAUAGACACAAUACUCUUACUCGCCUUGUUACCAGAGAACAAUGGUGUUCCGGACCUUUGGGAGGCGUGCGCGGAGCCGAAGCCAACACGUAGAGGCCCUUUUGACGCAUUAAUGAAAUGCAACCUCCAGCAGCAGUGGGACCAGCGCGGCCCCCUGCGCCCCCGCCCCGUCCCUCGCCCCUGCAGAGCGGACACCAGCGCCCUCUACAACUCUACCGGCGCCCGCCGUGUCUCCACCUUCUUCAAAAACGACAACCGGUGUUAGAUCUUCAAUUGACAUGACAAUACGAUGGACCUAGCUAGGCUAACAUUUUUAUUUUACCUUUUUAUCUCUGUAUAUUCCCAAGUCCCCAAGGGCACAGAUGGGAAUAUCAUAAUAUAGAUUACUCCCAUCCCCGUCCGCGCCCCCGCCUGAUGUGUGGCGGCCGUCACGUGAAGCCUUGACAAAUGUGAAUACAACCGUUGCCGCCAUAACAAUAAAUACUUAAAACAAUAGAUAAUGGUACGGAACCCUUCGUGCGCGAGUCCGACUCUCACUCUCACUUUCACGACUUUUCUUUCUAAGAUUAUUUUGAUUGAUUAGUCUACCAAUUAAUUUCUGUAUAAAUCAGUACCUAUAACAAAAUUCUUGCCCUUUUUAUUUCCCAAUUUAUAAUCUAAUUAUAGUCUUCAUCUUCUCAAAUCAUUUUUUAGCUUAAGAAUACAUCAUAAACCUAAGUAAUCUGUUAAACAAAAACCAUUGUCUCUAUUGUGACGGGCUCUAAGCUUCCAACUUGGGCACGUGGCAAAGCAACAAUGCCGUUUAAAAAGCAACUGAAUCGCGAUAGUACUAUAGUUCAAAUCUUUUUGACAGCUCAUUCAAGAUAACACGGUUGCGUAAUGUGGAUGGUUCGGUCGACCACCCCGAUAUAGGCGAGAAUACACAG